UGGCAGCAUUUCUCCCAAGGCUACAAGGCCUUUGCCACCUACUUGGGCAUGGGCGAAGAAGAAGAAAAAAAAAUAAAGGAAGAAGGAGGCAUGUAUAGAACAUUUACAAAGCAUAAAAGUGUUUACCUUUGAUAUAAUUUUUAUAAGAAACCUAGAAGAAAUAAUCUUUGUAUUUUUUUCUUUGAUUUUUGUCCUACUUUUGGCAAAAGAAAGAGGAUAAGGCAGCGAUGAGGUGGGUUUGGAGCUUGGCCCACCUGCACUCUCCUCUACCCUUUACUUGCCAUCCACGUGGCCUGGCUUGAAGGAAUUCUCUCCAGUCUUGAGUGCAGGCUCAUUCCCUCAAAACUGGGUACAAUUAUACGCCAUGUGGGGUUGUUGUGAAGAUUAAAGAAAAGUACUCAGCAAACAUCUUGCUGCACUCCCUCCUACACCACAAUAUGCUUUUGUGCAAGGAGCCAGCUCAUUUCAGGGAGAGGAGAGGCGUCCAGCUGCCCAUGGACCCCACCAACACCAGCUCUGACAUAGGAGGGGAAACAGCCCCGAGAGGUGCAAAGUAUUCUAAGUUAUGGAUGUUCAUAGAAGGGUAGUUUGUUUUAUUUGUAAUUCUUUACUUUUGGCUGUGCUUACCUCCUGCCAGAUUUCUAACUCCCUUAACAUUUAAGAUUGCCAAAUCAGGCCAUCUGUAAACAUGAAAAGUUGUAAAACUGGGGUCUUUCACCAAAGUGAUAGUUUUAAUAUUCUGAACAGAAGAAAAACUAAUAUUUUAGUUCUGAAAGUCCCAAAUAAUAUAGUUUGGAGUGGGUAUAGCCUCUCUGUUCUCCAUCCUCUGCAUUUCUCAGGGUUUUCUGAAUGUGGGUGGAUCUUGGUUUGAUGGCCAUCUUUUUCUUCCUCUCUGUCGAGAAUGUGCCUUGGCAAGCAUUGGAGAAGCCCAGCACAGCUUUUGUGAGCCAGAAAGGUUAAAACUGAGCUGACAGGACAGCCCCAGCUCUCUGCUGUUGUCCUGGAAGCUGGGAAGUCCUGGAUCAAGACACCAAUAGAUUUGGUACCUGGUGAGAGCUCUCUUUUCAGUUUGUAGAUGGCCAUCUUCUUGCUGUGGCAAGGGACAAAGGGUUCUCUCUGGGGUCUCUUUUAUCAAAGCAUAAAUCGCAUUCAUGAAGGCUGAUGUGGUUUGGCUGUGUACCCACCCAAAUCUCAUCUUGAAUUGUAGUUCCCAUAAUCCCCAUGUGUUGUGGGAGGGACCUGAUGUGAGGUAAUUGAAUCAUGGGGUGGUUACCUCCAUGCUGUUCUCAUGUUAGUGUCUUGUCAUGAGAUCUGAUGGUUUUAUAAGGGGCUUUCCCCUUUUGCUCAGCACUUCUCCUUGUUGCUGCAAUGUGAAGAAGGGCAUGUUUUCUUCCCCUUCUGCCAUGAUUGUAAGUUUCCUGAGGCCCCCCUAGCCCUGUGCAAUUGUGG
This 1449-nucleotide long non-coding RNA is filed under the name Homo sapiens (human). RNAcentral describes it as "HSALNT0011252". The record is from RNAcentral. Lineage: Eukaryota; Metazoa; Chordata; Mammalia; Primates; Hominidae.